This 465-nucleotide ribosomal RNA is filed under the name uncultured bacterium. Its description in RNAcentral is "bacterial SSU rRNA". It matches the Rfam family "Bacterial small subunit ribosomal RNA", at positions 338 to 795 of the family's 1533-position model. The record is from RNAcentral.
CCUACGGGCUGCACCAGUAGGGAAUCUUCGGCAAUGGACGAAAGUCUGACCGAGCAACGCCGCGUGAGUGAAGAAGGCUUUCGGAUCGUAAAACUCUGUUGUUAGGGAAGAACAAGUAGGAGAGUAACUGCUCUUACCUUGACGGUAUCUAACCAGAAAGCCACGGCUAACUACGUGCCAGCAGCCGCGGUAAUACGUAGGUGGCAAGCGUUGUCCGGAUUUAUUGGGCGUAAAGCGAGCGCAGGCGGUAUUUUAAGUCUGAUGUGAAAGCCCUCGGCUCAACCGAGGAAGGUCAUUGGAAACUGGAGGACUUGAGUGCAGAGGAGGAGAGUGGAAUUCCAUGUGUAGCGGUGAAAUGCGUAGAUAUAUGGAAGAACACCAGUGGCGAAGGCGACUCUCUGGUCUGUAACUGACGCUGAGGCUCGAAAGCGUGGGGAGCAAACAGGAUUAGAUACCCUUGUAGUC